RNAcentral lists this long non-coding RNA (1237 nucleotides) under Elaeis guineensis (African oil palm). RNAcentral describes it as "long non-coding RNA (EGUI_LNC062471)". The record is from RNAcentral. Lineage: Eukaryota; Viridiplantae; Streptophyta; Magnoliopsida; Arecales; Arecaceae.
CCUGCACAUGUGGUGAUCAACACUCGCAUUAAGAGGUGCGAGGAUAGCAUCCUUCCAUGAGAAUUUUAUCACCAUUUUUAAUUUUCUAGAAUCUAGAUUGAAUCCUCAAUCCAUGUAGAUUUUUGAGAAUUUUUUUGAUUUGCGAAGGGAUGUGGAAACAUCCCUUCUUUGGUUGCACGCACGCAGACCAGAGUGCUGAUCGACGUAUCAUGGAUAAGAAUCCUUCUGCUUGAAAGAAGUCUUAUCUCUGAUAAUCAGAUCAGAUAAGCCUUUUGGGAUAAGGCAUGUCCCUCUCUUUUGGCAUCCCUCUAGUAGCUAUAAAUAGGCUGGAGUGCUGGGUAUCGGAUGAAUCUAAGAGGGAUUUCCAAUUUCUCUCCUGUUGCUCUCCUUUCUUUUUUACAACCUAUCUUAGUUUUAGGACAAGGAUUUAGGAUUUAAGACAGCCUUAUCUGGUCCUAACAAGGGUUGUAAAGGUCCUAAAGAAGGAGAAUCAAAAGUUCAGAGGAGGUUCUAAGAGGGUAAGGUCAGGUUCUUGAAGAAACUUGACCGGUACAAGGCUAGUCGAGUUCUAGAGGCUAGAACUCUUGAAGCAAGGUGAAGAAGGAAUGCUGUCUUUGAUUCAAUUUUCGUGUGGAUCACCAUUGAAGGGUGGAUACUUUGACAUCUUGUGAAAAUUGAGAUUAGCACUAUAGAUAUUCUUCUUAUCCUAAUUUAUAUUUAUUAUGCUUUGAUUAUUAUAGUCAAGAGUUUCUGGACAUUAGGGCUUCCAGUGCAUCUAGAAUCAACUUGCCGAUAUCGAUAAAAUAAAAACAAGCAUGCAAAAGAGAUAGAAUUUUUAUUUUCACCAAAAAAAAAUGACACAUUGGUGUUCUCUACGAGUCUCCAAAGUAGAAGUCCUCCAAUGAUGAUCCAUACGAAAGUUGGCCAAGAUCUUUUCUAACCGGUGCACCGUUGCAGCCUUGUCUUCUCACGAACACUGCCAACUUCGAACUAGUGGUACGAUCAUGCCAAAAUCCAAUCGCCUCCAAGCUUGCCACUAGGAUCACGUCAAGAAGUUACUCUUCAGAUGUCUCAUAAUUUAGGAUUUGAUUUUUAGUUUCAACAUAUGGAAAAACCAAAUCCUAGAGCACACAAGCAACACUUGCUAAAAAUCUCACCACCCUUCUUGCAACUUUUACCACAUAAUUUUUUCUAGUCUUUUUCUCAAAUUUUUUUAAAUUUUUUUUAUGAUUUUCAC